CCCUACGGGAGGCAGCAGUGAGGAAUAUUGGUCAAUGGGCGGAAGCCUGAGCCAGCCAAGUCGCGUGAGGGAAUAAGGCCCUACGGGUCGUAAACCUCUUUUGCCGGGGAGCAAGGGCGGGGACGUGUCCCGGCCCGGAGAGUACCCGGAGAAAAAGUAUCGGCUAACUCCGUGCCAGCAGCCGCGGUAAUACGGAGGAUGCGAGCGUUAUCCGGAUUUACUGGGUGUAAAGGGCGUGCCGCCGGGAAGACACGUCAGAUGUGAAAUCCCGCGGCUCAACCGCGGAACUGCAUUUGAAACUGUUU
This 305-nucleotide ribosomal RNA is filed under the name uncultured bacterium. Its description in RNAcentral is "bacterial SSU rRNA". It matches the Rfam family "Bacterial small subunit ribosomal RNA", at positions 337 to 638 of the family's 1533-position model. The record is from RNAcentral.